AGAAAGGGAGACACAGAAUCCGACAGAGGCUCCAGGCUCCGAGCUGUCAGCACAGAGCCCGACGCAAGGCUCGACCGUGGGAUCGUGACCUGAGCUGAAGUCAGCCGCCCAACCAACUGAGCCACCCAGGGGCCCCUAAAAUGGAUAUUUUACUUGUAAGUCAAGUGGGCACAUACAUGGUAAUUGCUUCCGCCCCAUUUCCAUGGGCUCUCGUGCCGCGUCACCCCCUCUGAGAGGGAUAUCGCUGUUCCCGCUGCACUCUUCCAAUUUCUUUUAAAAAUAAAAUAAAAAUUAUUUAAAAGCCUCUUUUGGCCUCAUAAAUUCUGGAGCCAUUUUUGCCGAGAGUUUGGCAAGGGUCCUGUGAGGGUGCGGAGGGACGGCCUUGGGCUCGGCCGACUCUUGAAUCUCUCUGGCCAGCAGCCCGUGUAAGGCUGUUCCCCGGGGACUGCGCACUUUGGCGUCCCCAACUUACUUCAUAGGCCCCUAAAUAAACCUUGUGGGUUUCAAUGCUCCCACAGGGCCUCUCUGGAGAGAAGAGUGUUCCUAAAACAAAACCUCGGAUGACAUUCACGGACGUCCAGCUCAUCAGGCAUGCCGCCGAGGGACUGACUUCCCAACGUCCUCCCAGGUGGUCAUCACUGACGCUGCAGGGUCAGCCGGACUCCUCGCUGGCCUCACGUGUCAGAGCAGAGGUGGCCUCUGAGGGAUCUGGGAGCUUGCCUGGACCUGUGGUCGAGGUGUGAUGUGCGUGCGGUCAUGGGUGUGACAGAACUGGCCGAGACGUGUCCUUCACUGGAGAUGUGGCUUCAUAUCUGUGCCCUCCUGCCCCCAUCACAUGUGAUGGAGCAUAUCUGUGGAUUGCUUUAUACUUGAGAAGGAUGCAACGCAUUCACGAGCUCACUGGAUUUUCACACGGCAACUCCAGGAAACCCAAGCUCUUAUCUGAACUGUAUACGUCAGAGCACUGAGCCCUGGAGGGUAUCUCUUGGACAAAUCCCAGUGUGCAAUCCUUCUUCCCUGAAAACGUGGGAUCGGGUAAAACUGGAUUUUAAAGACUGUUGAGUCAGGCACGACAGGGAGCGAUCUUUAGGAACACCCCCAGGUGUGCUGCUUAGCCGAGGGGCUGUAUGCUGGAUCAUCUGCCAUUUGUCCUUCCAGCCCCAUUCUCUUCUCUUCUUUGCCCUGUGCCCUGGGAAGUUGAUUCUGAAAGACUGCUUCUAUGGGUUCCAUUGCCCUGUGGCUUCUUCUGGUUGGAAUCAGACAAUGGCCAGCACCGGUAGGAGAUUGGGGUGGCAGGAGGGGGGCAUCGCAGGGUAUUCUCCCAGCCAGGAGACCAUGGCUAAGUUCAGGAAGCCUUGCUCCUGUGGACCCCAGGGCAUUGCAAUACUCCUUGUUGGUUUCCUUACACUCGGCUCGCAUCUUUAAGAAGAGCCCCUUUUUGCACUCCCCGCCCCCGUUGCAGAUAUCAUGUACUACUGAAUCUGCUGGGAGCUCAUACAAUUCACUAUGCAGGUAGUGAGCGGACUUGAAAAAGUGGUUUGUCACACGCCUUGAAGAGAGUAUUGAGUGUAGGCAUCUGCUCUUGAUCGGCAGGCUGAGUAAGGACGGGCUGUGUCUCUCCCGGCACUAAUUGGCAGACUUGAAUCAUCUCUCCUGACAGAUAGCUUCUUUUCCUCCAGUUCCUGCCCCGUCAGGAAUUUUCCACAUGGUAGGAUUUCCAGAUAAUGAAAUGUCCACUUGAGAGGCUCUGACUCUGAAAGAGUGGCUCAGGGGCAAGUUGAGUGUCUCCUGGUGCCGGCGGGGGCCGUUUUGUGCCUUGUGUCCAGUGGGGUGCCAGUGCCAGUGAUGGUUUCCGGGGUCCAGAAGGGCCCACGUGGUCCCUGCCACAACAAAACUCCUGGUUGGCGAGAAGGCUUAACUUAGAGCCCAUUCAACUCUGUACAAGUGCUACUGUUCGUCGAUAACUUUGUAAAGUACGUGUGAGGAUUAUCAUAGCAAACCCUGACCAAAGCAGAGAAAGGAGAAAAAUCCACGAAGAGUUCUGGGUCUGAUGCAGCUGUGCUCUGAUUUCCAGGUCAGGAGUGGCACUUGAAGGGAGUGGACGGUUAAUCCUGCGGCUCUGUGCUCUGACCAGAAUCUGUCAUUUGUAUUGGGCCGAUGGCUAAACAAGGCCCCCGUGUGUUGAUUUCUCCUAGGUCCACGUCCCUCUGUGCUGUGUCCUCACUGCUCCUCCCACCCACUGGUGGGGGUUCAUUUCUCCACCCUCUGGAAUCUAGGUUGGACCUGUGAGUUGCUUUGGCCGGUAGAACGCGGCAGAACUGACAUUCUGAAAUUUAAGAAGCUUUUUAAGAGAGCUUUUGCUUUCAACUUGGAGAGAAACAUACUUGCCGUGUAAACAGCCCAGAGUAUCCGUAGAGAGAGAGGUCACAAGGAAGAAAAAAAGCGAUUUCGGGGAGCAGAGAGGAGUGGUCCCUAACGAGCCCUGCCAGAAUUUCUGAUCUUUUUUUUAAAAAAAUUUUUUUUUUUUUAACGUUUAUUUAUUUUU
RNAcentral lists this long non-coding RNA (2545 nucleotides) under Lynx pardinus (Iberian lynx). The record is from RNAcentral. Lineage: Eukaryota; Metazoa; Chordata; Mammalia; Carnivora; Felidae.